RNAcentral lists this ribosomal RNA (253 nucleotides) under uncultured bacterium. Its description in RNAcentral is "partial 16S ribosomal RNA". It matches the Rfam family "Bacterial small subunit ribosomal RNA", at positions 524 to 776 of the family's 1533-position model. The record is from RNAcentral.
UACGUAGGGGGCAAGCGUUGUCCGGAUUUAUUGGGCGUAAAGAGCGUGUAGGCGGCUUUACAGGUCCGUUGUGAAAACUCGAGGCUCAACCUCGAGACGCCGGUGGAAACCGUAAAGCUAGAGUCCGGAAGAGGAGAGUGGAAUUCCCGGUGUAGCGGUGAAAUGCGCAGAUAUCGGGAGGAACACCCGUAGCGAAGGCGGCACUCUGGGCCGGAACUGACGCUGAGGAGCGAAAGCGUGGGGAGCAAACAGG